GACAUGCACUGCCGCCAUUCCUCACCGAG
RNAcentral lists this non-coding RNA (29 nucleotides) under Rattus norvegicus (Norway rat). Lineage: Eukaryota; Metazoa; Chordata; Mammalia; Rodentia; Muridae. The record is from RNAcentral.